RNAcentral lists this ribosomal RNA (486 nucleotides) under uncultured bacterium. Its description in RNAcentral is "partial 16S ribosomal RNA". It matches the Rfam family "Bacterial small subunit ribosomal RNA", at positions 30 to 507 of the family's 1533-position model. The record is from RNAcentral.
AUUGAACGCUGGCGGCAUGCCUUACACAUGCAAGUCGAACGGCAGCACGGGUGCUUGCACCUGGUGGCGAGUGGCGAACGGGUGAGUAAUACAUCGGAACAUGUCCUGUAGUGGGGGAUAGCCCGGCGAAAGCCGGAUUAAUACCGCAUACGAUCUACGGAUGAAAGCGGGGGACCUUCGGGCCUCGCGCUAUCGGGUUGGCCGAUGGCUGAUUAGCUAGUUGGUGGGGUAAAGGCCUACCAAGGCGACGAUCAGUAGCUGGUCUGAGAGGACGACCAGCCACACUGGGACUGAGACACGGCCCAGACUCCUACGGGAGGCAGCAGUGGGGAAUUUUGGACAAUGGGCGAAAGCCUGAUCCAGCAAUGCCACGUGUGUGAAGAAGGCCUUCGGGUUGUAAAGCACUUUUGUCCGGAAAGAAAUACUUGGCCCUAAUACGGUCGGGGGAUGACGGUACCGGAAGAAUAAGCACCGGCUAACUACGUG